GAACGCUGGCGGCAUGCCUUACACAUGCAAGUCGAACGGCAGCAUGAUCUAGCUUGCUAGAUUGAUGGCGAGUGGCGAACGGGUGAGUAAUACAUCGGAACGUGCCCUGUAGUGGGGGAUAACUAGUCGAAAGAUUAGCUAAUACCGCAUACGACCUGAGGGUGAAAGUGGGGGACCGCAAGGCCUCAUGCUAUAGGAGCGGCCGAUGUCUGAUUAGCUAGUUGGUGGGGUAAAGGCCCACCAAGGCGACGAUCAGUAGCUGGUCUGAGAGGACGAUCAGCCACACUGGGACUGAGACACGGCCCAGACUCCUACGGGAGGCAGCAGUGGGGAAUUUUGGACAAUGGGCGAAAGCCUGAUCCAGCAAUGCCGCGUGCGUGAAGAAGGCCUUCGGGUUGUAAAGCACUUUUGUCCGGAAAGAAAUGGCUCUGGUUAAUACCUGGGGUCGAUGACGGUACCGGAAGAAUAAGGACCGGCUAACUACGUGCCAGCAGCCGCGGUAAUACGUAGGGUCCAAGCGUUAAUCGGAAUUACUGGGCGUAAAGCGUGCGCAGGCGGUUGCGCAAGACCGAUGUGAAAUCCCCGAGCUUAACUUGGGAAUUGCAUUGGUGACUGCACGGCUAGAGUGUGUCAGAGGGGGGUAGAAUUCCACGUGUAGCAGUGAAAUGCGUAGAGAUGUGGAGGAAUACCGAUGGCGAAGCAGCCCCCUGGGAUAACACUGACGCUCAUGCACGAAAGCGUGGGGAGCAAACAGGAU
RNAcentral lists this ribosomal RNA (757 nucleotides) under uncultured bacterium. RNAcentral describes it as "bacterial SSU rRNA". It matches the Rfam family "Bacterial small subunit ribosomal RNA", at positions 31 to 778 of the family's 1533-position model. The record is from RNAcentral.